AGAGUUUGAUCCUGGCUCAGAUUGAACGCUGGCGGCAGGCCUAACACAUGCAAGUCGAGCGGUAACACAGAGGAGCUUGCUCCUUGGGUGACGAGCGGCGGACGGGUGAGUAAUGCCUGGGGAUCUGCCCGAUAGAGGGGGAUAACUACGGGAAACUGUAGCUAAUACCGCAUAAUGUCUACGGACCAAAGUGGGGGCUCUUCGGACCUCAUGCUAUCGGAUGAACCCAGGUGGGAUUAGCUAGUUGGUGAGGUAAUGGCUCACCAAGGCGACGAUCUCUAACUGGUUUGAGAGAAUGACCAGUCACACUGGAACUGAGACACGGUCCAGACUCCUACGGGAGGCAGCAGUGGGGAAUAUUGCACAAUGGGCGCAAGCCUGAUGCAGCCAUGCCGCGUGUGUGAAGAAGGCCUUCGGGUUGUAAAGCACUUUCAGCGGGGAGGAAGGGUCACUAGUUAAUACCUAGUGGCAUUGACGUUACUCGCAGAAGAAGCACCGGCUAACUCCGUGCCAGCAGCCGCGGUAAUACGGAGGGUGCAAGCGUUAAUCGGAAUUACUGGGCGUAAAGCGCACGCAGGCGGUUUGUUAAGUCAGAUGUGAAAUCCCCGAGCUCAACUUGGGAACUGCAUUUGAAACUGGCAAGCUAGAGUCUUGUAGAGGGGGGUAGAAUUCCAGGUGUAGCGGUGAAAUGCGUAGAGAUCUGGAGGAAUACCGGUGGCGAAGGCGGCCCCCUGGACAAAGACUGACGCUCAGGUGCGAAAGCGUGGGGAGCAAACAGGAUUAGAUACCCUGGUAGUCCACGCUGUAAACGAUGUCGAUUGAGAGGUCGUGCCCGUGAGGCGCGGCUUCGCGGAGAGAGUGCGUUUAAUUGACGGUCGGGGGAGGGGGGCCGCAAGGUUAAAACUCACAGGAAUGGGGGGGGGCCCGCACUAGCGGCGGAGCAUGUGCUUUAAUUUGACGCAAUGUGACGAGCGUUACCUCCUGUUGACAUCCACAGCAGCAUGCAGAGAUGCGGGUGAGCUUUCGGGACUUGCGAGACAGGUGCGGCAGGGCGGUGGUCAUCUGGUGUUGUGAAAGGGGGGGUGAAGUCCAGCAACGAGCGCCAUCUCUAUCCUUGGUGGCCGGUGCUUUGGUGGGGAAGUCAAAGCAGGUUUCCGGUGAGGAACCGGGGCAGGGAGGGGAAGGCGUCAAGUCAUCGUGGGCUCUCUCAGUAGGCCCCCCCGCGUGCUCCAAUGGCAUAUCCGAAGGGCGGCAAGCGAGGGAUAGUGAGCGGAUCCCAUAAAGUCUCUGGUAGUCCGGAUGGGGGUGUGCAACUCGACUCCAUGAAGUGGCAAUCGAGAGUAAUCGAGGAUCGGAACGCCGCGGGGAACGCGUUCCCGGCCCUUGCACUCGCCGCCCGUCA
RNAcentral lists this ribosomal RNA (1402 nucleotides) under uncultured bacterium. Its description in RNAcentral is "partial 16S ribosomal RNA". It matches the Rfam family "Bacterial small subunit ribosomal RNA". The record is from RNAcentral.